UAGCAUAUCAAUAAGCGGAGGAAAAGAAACCAACUGGGAUUGCCUUAGUAACGGCGAGUGAAGCGGCAAUAGCUCAAAUUUGAAAGCUGGCCCCUUCGGGGUCCGCGUUGUAAUUUGUAGAGGAUGAUUCGGCGAGGGCUCCCGUCUAAGUCCCCUGGAACGGGGCGUCACAGAGGGUGAGAAUCCCGUAUGUGAUGGGUUGCCUUAGCCAUGUGAAUCUCCUUCGACGAGUCGAGUUGUUUGGGAAUGCAGCUCUAAAUGGGAGGUAAAUUUCUUCUAAAGCUAAAUACCGGCCAGAGACCGAUAGCGCACAAGUAGAGUGAUCGAAAGAUGAAAAGCACUUUGGAAAGAGAGUUAAAAAGUACGUGAAAUUGUUGAAAGGGAAGCGCUUGCAGCCAGACUUGUCCGCAGUUGCUCAGCCGGUCUCCUGACCGGCGUACUCUUCUGCGGCCAGGCCAGCAUCAGUUCGGGCGGUCGGAUAAAGACCUCGGGAAUGUAGCUCCUCUCGGGGAGUGUUAUAGCCCGGGGUGGAAUGCGGCCAGCCUGGACUGAGGAUCUCGCUUCGGCUAGGAUGCUGGCGUAAUGGCUGUAAGCGGCCCGUCUUGAAACACGGACCAAGGAGUCUAACAUCUAUGCGAGUGUUUGGGUGUCAAACCCAUACGCGUAAUGAAAGUGAACGGAGGUGGGAACCCUCACGGGUGCACCAUCGACCGAUCCUGAUGUCUUCGGAUGGAUUUGAGUAAGAGCAUAGCUGUUGGGACCCGAAAGAUGGUGAACUAUGCCUGAAUAGGGUGAAGCCAGAGGAAACUCUGGUGGAGGCUCGCAGCGGUUCUGACGUGCAAAUCGAUCGUCAAAUUUGGGUAUAGGGGCGAAAGACUAAUCGAACCAUCUAGUAGCUGGUUCCUGC
Molecule: ribosomal RNA, 907 nt
Filed under: Dothiorella thripsita
Lineage: Eukaryota; Fungi; Ascomycota; Dothideomycetes; Botryosphaeriales; Botryosphaeriaceae
Description: LSU rRNA
Rfam family: Eukaryotic large subunit ribosomal RNA
Source: RNAcentral